This 468-nucleotide ribosomal RNA is filed under the name uncultured bacterium. RNAcentral's name for it is "partial 16S ribosomal RNA". It matches the Rfam family "Bacterial small subunit ribosomal RNA", at positions 28 to 507 of the family's 1533-position model. The record is from RNAcentral.
GACGAACGCUGGCGGCGUGCUUAACACAUGCAAGUCGAACGGAAAGGCCCUGCUUUUGUGGGGUGCUCGAGUGGCGAACGGGUGAGUAACACGUGAGUAACCUGCCCUUGACUUUGGGAUAACUUCAGGAAACUGGGGCUAAUACCGGAUAGGAGCUCCUGCUGCAUGGUGGGGGUUGGAAAGUUUCGGCGGUUGGGGAUGGACUCGCGGCUUAUCCGCUUGUUGGUGGGGUAGUGGCUUACCAAGGCUUUGACGGGUAGCCGGCCUGAGAGGGUGACCGGCCACAUGGGGACUGAGAUACGGCCCAGACGCCUACGGGAGGCAGCAGUGGGGAAUAUUGCACAAUGGGCGGAAGCCUGAUGCAGCAACGCCGCGUGCGGGAUGACGGCCUUCGGGUUGUAAACCGCUUUCGCCUGUGACGAAGCGUGAGUGACGGUAAUGGGUAAAGAAGCACCGGCUAACUACGUG